RNAcentral lists this ribosomal RNA (642 nucleotides) under Buckleyzyma aurantiaca. Its description in RNAcentral is "eukaryotic LSU rRNA". It matches the Rfam family "Eukaryotic large subunit ribosomal RNA", at positions 38 to 667 of the family's 3401-position model. Lineage: Eukaryota; Fungi; Basidiomycota; Cystobasidiomycetes; Buckleyzymales; Buckleyzymaceae. The record is from RNAcentral.
GCAAUACAAUAAGCGGAGGAAAAGAAACUAACAAGGAUUCCCCUAGUAACGGCGAGUGAAGUGGGAAAAGCUCAACUUUGUAAUCUGGCAGCUUCGCUGUCCGAGUUGUAGUCUCGAGAAAUGUUUUCCGCGCUGGCAUGUGUAUGAGUCUGUUGGAAUACAGCGUCAUAGAGGGUGAGAACCCCGUUCAUGACACAUCUCCCAGUGCUUUGUGAUACAUUUUCGAUGAGUCGAGUUGUUUGGGAAUGCAGCUCAAAAUGGGUGGUAAAUUCCAUCUAAAGCUAAAUAUUGGCGAGAGACCGAUAGCAAACAAGUACCGUGAGGGAAAGAUGAAAAGCACUUUGGAAAGAGAGUUAAAAGUACGUGAAAUUGUUGAAAGGGAAACGCUUGAAGUCAGACGUGCGCAGUGCGAUUCAGCUCUAUUUCGGUAGAGUGUAUUUCGUGCUAUUGCAGGCCAGCAUCGGUUUUGCGAGCCGGAUAAAGGUUAGUAGAAGGUAGCAUCUUCGGAUGUGUUAUAGCUUCUAACUGAAUACGGAUUGCGAGACCGAGGGACGCAGCACGGCGCAAGCCAGAAGAUUCGUCUUCUUCGUGCUUAGGAUGCUGGUGAAAUGGCUUUAAACGACCCGUCUUGAAACACGGACC